Molecule: ribosomal RNA, 172 nt
Filed under: Ophichthus triserialis
Lineage: Eukaryota; Metazoa; Chordata; Actinopteri; Anguilliformes; Ophichthidae
Description: partial small subunit ribosomal RNA
Source: RNAcentral
UACCGCGGUUAUACGAGAGGCUCAAAUUGAUGUUCCACGGCGUAAAGCGUGAUUAAAGAAAAUAAAUACUAAAGCCGAACAACUCCUUAACUGUUAUACGUUUAAAGAGAUAAGAAGCCCCACAACGAAAGUAGCUUUAACUAAAAAUCUUGAGCUCACGAAAAUUAAGAAA